CAGCACAAAGGGGAGCCGAAGCUCCCCUUUAAUUUUUCGUUUCGCGUGCUCUUUUUUUAUUAUUGAGGGGCGGUCUGUUGUUGUUUUUGGUGACCGUGACCCUUUACCGCUGUUUUUUGUCGAUCCCCAUCCGGGAUCAAGAGCAAACGUAUUUUUUUGAGCGCUGAUCUACUUUUUCGCUGAGCGAUCCAACCAGUUCGGGAGCUACCUGAAGGUAGUU
This 220-nucleotide unclassified non-coding RNA is filed under the name Pseudomonas moorei. Its description in RNAcentral is "Pseudomonas sRNA P29". Lineage: Bacteria; Pseudomonadati; Pseudomonadota; Gammaproteobacteria; Pseudomonadales; Pseudomonadaceae. The record is from RNAcentral.